This 401-nucleotide ribosomal RNA is filed under the name uncultured bacterium. RNAcentral describes it as "bacterial SSU rRNA". It matches the Rfam family "Bacterial small subunit ribosomal RNA", at positions 362 to 756 of the family's 1533-position model. The record is from RNAcentral.
UCUUCGGCAAUGGACGCAAGUCUGACCGAGCAACGCCGCGUGAGUGAAGAAGGUUUUCGGAUCGUAAAACUCUGUUGUAAGAGACGAACGUUGAUGAGAGUGGAAAGUUCAUCAAGUGACGGUAUCUUACCAGAAAGCCACGGCUAACUACGUGCCAGCAGCCGCGGUAAUACGUAGGUGGCAAGCGUUGUCCGGAUUUAUUGGGCGUAAAGCGAGCGCAGGCGGUUGAUUAAGUCUGAUGUGAAAGCCCCCGGCUCAACCGGGGAGGGUCAUUGGAAACUGGUCAACUUGAGUGCAGAAGAGGAGAGUGGAAUUCCAUGUGUAGCGGUGAAAUGCGUAGAUAUAUGGAGGAACACCAGGGCGAAGGCGGCUCUCUGUCUGUAACUGACGCUGAGGCUCGA